CUGGUGUCAGCCGCCGCGGUAAUACCAGCACCUCGAGUGGUCAGGACGUUUAUUGGGCCUAAAGCAUCCGUAGCCGGCUCUGCAAGUCUUCGGUUAAAUCCACCUGCUCAACAGACGGGCUGCUGGAGAUACUACAGAGCUAGGGAGUGGGAGAGGCAGACGGUAUUCAGUGGGUAGGGGUAAAAUCCUCUGAUCCAUCGAGGACCACCAGUGGCGAAGGCGGUCUGCCAGAACACGUUCGACGGUGAGGGAUGAAAGCUGGGGGAGCAAACCGGAUUAGAUACCCGGGUAGUCCCAGCUGUAAACGUUGCAAACUCGGUGAUGCAUUGGCUUAUGGCCAAUGCAGUGCCGCAGGGAAGCCGUUAAGUUUGCCGCCUGGGAAGUACGGACGCAAGUCUGAAACUUAAAG
This 409-nucleotide ribosomal RNA is filed under the name uncultured Nitrososphaerota archaeon. RNAcentral describes it as "bacterial SSU rRNA". It matches the Rfam family "Archaeal small subunit ribosomal RNA", at positions 452 to 861 of the family's 1478-position model. The record is from RNAcentral. Lineage: Archaea; Thermoproteati; Nitrososphaerota.